RNAcentral lists this ribosomal RNA (417 nucleotides) under Solaropsis sp. p RBS-2020. RNAcentral's name for it is "partial large subunit ribosomal RNA". The record is from RNAcentral. Lineage: Eukaryota; Metazoa; Mollusca; Gastropoda; Stylommatophora; Solaropsidae.
CAAAAACAUAGCUUGUUGAAUUUUAUAGUAGGUAAAUUCUGCUCAAUGAUUUAUUUAAAUAGCCGCAGUACCUUGACUGUGCUAAGGUAGCAUAAUAAUUUGUCUUAUAAUUGAAGUCUAGAAUGAAUGGAAUUAUUUGGGUAAAAUCUAUCUAAGUUUAAUUAAAUUUAAUUUUUUUUAAUAAGUGAAAAUACUUAUAUAAUUAUGAAAGACGAGAAGACCCUAGAAAUUUUGAUUAAUUAUAAUGUAAUAAUUAUAAAUAUUUUUGUUGGGGCGACAGAAUUACAAAAUUAACUUAUUUUAUUAUUUUGUUAAUUUAAAAAAACCUUUUGAUUAAAUAUAAAUUACUCUAGGGAUAACAGCAUAAUUUAUUAAUAAGUUUGUGACCUCGAUGUUGGAUUAGGAAAAAUAUAUACU